Molecule: transfer RNA, 93 nt
Filed under: Gammaproteobacteria bacterium
Lineage: Bacteria; Pseudomonadati; Pseudomonadota; Gammaproteobacteria
Description: tRNA-Ala
Rfam family: tRNA
About the family: Transfer RNA (tRNA) molecules are approximately 80 nucleotides in length. Their secondary structure includes four short double-helical elements and three loops (D, anti-codon, and T loops).
Source: RNAcentral
GCCGGUUGGCAGACCGAUCGAAUGCGCUAGGCUGGCAACCCUAGAUGCUCCCCCAAACGGAGCUACGUCACGGGUUCGAAUCCCGUACCGGCA